This 200-nucleotide ribosomal RNA is filed under the name uncultured bacterium. RNAcentral's name for it is "partial 16S ribosomal RNA". It matches the Rfam family "Bacterial small subunit ribosomal RNA", at positions 1293 to 1500 of the family's 1533-position model. The record is from RNAcentral.
UCGGAUCGGAGCCUGCAACCCGGCUCCGUGAAGCUGGAUUCGCUAGUAAUCGCGCAUCAGCCAUGGCGCGGUGAAUACGUUCCCGGGCCUUGUACACACCGCCCGUCAAGCCAUGGGAGCCGGGGGCGCCUGAAGUGCGGUACCGCGAGGGCCGCCCAAGGGCGAGACCGGUGACUGGGGCUAAGUCGUAACAAGGUAAC